UACAUGGGGUGCAAACGUUGCUCGGAAUCAUUGGGCGUAAAGCGCGCGUAGGCGGCCCUGUAAGUCCGUUGUGAAAGUCAAAGGCUCAACCUUUGAAAGCCGAUGGAUACUGCAGGGCUAGAGUCCGGAAGAGGCGAGUGGAAUUCCUGGUGUAGCGGUGGAAUGCGCAGAUAUCAGGAGGAACACCAAUAGCGAAGGCAGCUCGCUGGGACGGUACUGACGCUAAGGCGCGAAAGCGUGGGGAGCGAACGGG
Molecule: ribosomal RNA, 253 nt
Filed under: uncultured bacterium
Lineage: Bacteria
Description: partial 16S ribosomal RNA
Rfam family: Bacterial small subunit ribosomal RNA
Source: RNAcentral